GGCCUGGAUACUAUUCUCAAUUAUUCUACCCAAAAUCUAGCAGCCUGAGACGAUACGUCAGCCAGAAGGAUGAAGGCCAGUGCCUAAUGAGUGUCAAGGCCACAGUCCUGGAUGAAACACAGAACAUCCACAAGUACAUUGCAAACGGGAUUCCCAAAGAUGGACUGUUAAGUGAAUGUCUGCCUCAACAGCUGACAGAGAAUGAAGAUAAAGAGGAUUUCCUGUAC
Molecule: non-coding RNA, 227 nt
Organism: Pelobates cultripes (western spadefoot toad)
Lineage: Eukaryota; Metazoa; Chordata; Amphibia; Anura; Pelobatidae
Source: the annotation of a GenBank genome assembly